CAGCAGCCGCGGUAAUACGGAGGGAGCUAGCGUUAUUCGGAAUUACUGGGCGUAAAGCGCACGUAGGCGGCUUUGUAAGUUAGAGGUGAAAGCCUGGAGCUCAACUCCAGAAUUGCCUUUAAGACUGCAUCGCUUGAAUCCAGGAGAGGUGAGUGGAAUUCCGAGUGUAGAGGUGAAAUUCGUAGAUAUUCGGAAGAACACCAGUGGCGAAGGCGGCUCACUGGACUGGUAUUGACGCUGAGGUGCGAAAGCGUGGGGAGCAAACAGGAUUAGAGACCCCGGUAGUCCCUGUCUCUUAUAC
RNAcentral lists this ribosomal RNA (301 nucleotides) under uncultured bacterium. Its description in RNAcentral is "partial 16S ribosomal RNA". It matches the Rfam family "Bacterial small subunit ribosomal RNA", at positions 509 to 807 of the family's 1533-position model. The record is from RNAcentral.